RNAcentral lists this non-coding RNA (45 nucleotides) under Schistosoma mansoni. The record is from RNAcentral. Lineage: Eukaryota; Metazoa; Platyhelminthes; Trematoda; Strigeidida; Schistosomatidae.
ACCCAGAUGACGAGUUCCAAAUAGGACGAAACGCGCGUCCCAGAU